GCGGACCGCGCGCCUGCAACGCGCCGGCACCGCGCGGGGUGCUGAGCGUGACGUGACCUAACCCAGCGCUCUCCCAGUCCUGCUCCCCAAGAGUGAACGCGGCUGAGGGGGGCGCGAGGCUGUGACGUCAACGCCCCGGCAGCUGCCUGGAGCCCUCGUGCAGGGGGCGGGGGCAGUGGUCACGUGCAGCCGUGCGGCCGCAGCCCGCGGGUGGGGUAGUAGCGAAGUAAUGUGAAGAAGCGGAGUGAGCGCUUUACCUCAGAGCGGUGCUGGAUGGAGAAGGAGCCUGUGUAGGAGCAGCAGGAGCUGGGACGGGAGCGGCACGUAGAUAAAAAUACUGAGGUGGAGGUCCUGCCAAAGUGGUGAUGAUUAUACAAAGAGUAGUACUCAACUCACGCCCUGGUAAAAAUGGUGUGCCAGUGCCAGAAAACUUCCGAAUGGAAGAAGUCACAAUACCAGAUAAAAUCCAAGAGGGACAAGUAUGUGUUCGAACCCUUUACCUUUCUGUGGAUCCUUACAUGCGCUGUCGUAUGAAUGAAGACACAGAUGCUGAAUAUCUCCGGGCUUGGAAGCCAUCUGAGGUGGCUGAUGGUGGGGGCAUUGGCAUUGUGGAGGAUAGCAAAUGUACACACCUUGUUAAAGGAGAUUUUGUAACUUCAUUCAACUGGCCCUGGCAGACAAAAGCCAUUUUAGAUGGAAGUCUGCUCCAAAAGCUUAAUCCACAACUCGUAGAUGGACACCUCUCUUACUUUCUUGGUGCCGCUGGUAUUACUGGGUUAACUGCCUUAUUAGGGAUAAGAGAGAAAGGACAUGUGAUUCCAGGUGCCAAUCAGACAAUGGUUGUUAGUGGAGCUGCUGGUUCCUGUGGUUCUUUGGCUGGUCAGAUUGGCCGCCUAGAGGGUUGUUCCAGAGUGGUAGGAAUUGCAGGUACAGAUGAGAAGUGCUCCAUUUUGGUCUCAGAAAUGGGGUUUGAUGCUGCCAUCAACUACAAGAAGGGAAGUGUGGCAGAGCAGCUGCAGGAACUCUGUCCAGCUGGCGUGGAUGUGUACUUUGACAAUGUUGGUGGAGACAUCAGUGAUGCAGUUAUUAGUCAGAUGAAUCAGAAUAGCCAUAUCAUCCUCUGUGGACAGAUUUCCCAGUAUAAUAAAGAUAUGUCUUAUCCUCCUCCAUUGGCUCCUGCAGUAGAAGAAAUACAGAAAGCAAGGAAUAUCACAAGGGAGAGAUUUCUAGUGUUGAACUAUAUGGACAAGCACGAAGCUAGUGUUCUACAGCUCUGUCAAUGGAUCAAGGAGGGGAAACUGAAGCUUGAGACUGUUGCUCCUUGUUCUGUCAUCUGCCACCACUGAGAACAGUCUAGCUCCAUCCUCUUUGGAUCCCCACUUCAGGUAGUUGAAGGCUGCUAUUAAAUCCCACCUCAGUCUUCUCUUUUCCAGGCUAAAUAAAUCCAGUUCCCUCAGCCUUUCCUCAUAAGUCAUGUGUCCAAGCCCCUAAUCAUUUUCAUUGCCUUCUGCUAGAUGCUUUCCAAUUUAUCCACAGCCUUUCUGUAGUGAUGGGCAAAACUGGACGCAGUACUCCAGGUGUGGCCUCACCAGUGCCAAAUAGAGGGAAGUAAUCACUUCCCUUGAUCUGCUGGUAACACUCUUAAUGCAGCCUAGUAUGCUGUUAGCCGCCUUUGCAACAGCAUACUGGGCUGCAGUACCAGCACAUAAUUUGGGGGCUCUGGUUUUAGUUGGUGGGUUGAUGCCCUGUGCCGAUUUGGAUCUUCAUGAUGCCUAAUGAGUUAACCAACUGACCUGCUUAUCAUAGAAUCAGAGAGAAACAGACCUGGAAAGAACCUCAAGAGGUCAUCUAGACCAACCCCCUGAAGCAAGAUCAUUCCUAUCCAAGCCCUCCUAUACAAAUUCAUUGUCUAACCUGUCAGCAGAACUACAGUCAAUCCUGACACAACAAGAUCUAAUCUGCCACAGGCAGAGCAGGAGGACCACAGUAGCUAAUGCUGCUGUGCGGGUUGUUAAUAUAUGCUCAAGACAUACCAGGAAAAGGGUAACGCCCCUUGCUACAGAGGAAGACAAAACCUACUACAGUCCAUACCAAUCCAGCCAUGGGGCAAAAUUCCUUCCUGAUGCCAUCCAGAGACACAAAGUUGUAAAAAGUCAAGUAAUGUUCCAUCUUUGAAAGAGUUAAAUAACUUCUAGGCUUAGAACAACGUAGCUGAACAACAUAGCUAUGUCCACCUUAUCUUCCUUUCUGGAGUAAUUGCUAUGGCAAUUUCAUGUUGCUUAUCAGCAAUGCUUUUAUCUUUUUGAGGAAAACUAACAAGACCUGUUGUUGUUGACAGGUCAGAGAGACUGUAACACGAGGUCUGGAAAAAACUGGUGCUGCUUUCCAAUCCAUGAUGACCGGCGGCAACAUAGGAAAACAGAUGGUGCUCAUUUCUGAAUAACAUUUUUGCACCUUUUGUGUAAAUAUACCCAACAGGAAAAAUAAACAUUUAUGAUCCUGAA
Alligator mississippiensis (American alligator) is the source of this 2504-nucleotide RNA transcript. It is a transcript of the gene named prostaglandin reductase 2, with no coding region annotated. Lineage: Eukaryota; Metazoa; Chordata; Crocodylia; Alligatoridae. The record is from RefSeq and is a predicted model, not a curated record. The transcript is spliced from 10 exons.